This 101-nucleotide small nuclear RNA is filed under the name Microcebus murinus (gray mouse lemur). Lineage: Eukaryota; Metazoa; Chordata; Mammalia; Primates; Cheirogaleidae. The record is from RNAcentral.
GUCUCUCUCUGACAUAUACUAAAAUUGGAAUGAUACAGGGAAGAUUAGCACAGCCCCUGAGCAAGGAUGACAUGCAAAUUUGUGAAGUGUUCCAUAACAAA